UGAGGAAUAUUGGUCAAUGGGCGAGAGCCUGAACCAGCCAAGUAGCGUGCAGGAUGACGGCCCUAUGGGUUGUAAACUGCUUUUAUGUGGGGAUAAAGUGCGUGACGUGUCAUGCAUUGCAGGUACCACAUGAAUAAGGACCGGCUAAUUCCGUGCCAGCAGCCGCGGUAAUACGGAAGGUCCGGGCGUUAUCCGGAUUUAUUGGGUUUAAAGGGAGCGUAGGCUGUCUAUUAAGCGUGUUGUGAAAUUUACCGGCUAAACCGGUGGCUUGCAGCGCGAACUGGUCGACUUGCGUAUGCAGGAAGUAGGCGGAAUUCAUGGUGUAGCGGUGAAAUGCUUAGAUAUCAUGACGAACACCGAUUGAGCAGGCAGCUUACUAUAGCAUAACUGACGCUGAUGCUCGAAAGUGCGGGUAUCAAACAGG
RNAcentral lists this ribosomal RNA (424 nucleotides) under Fusobacteriota bacterium. RNAcentral's name for it is "Fusobacteria bacterium partial 16S ribosomal RNA". It matches the Rfam family "Bacterial small subunit ribosomal RNA", at positions 355 to 776 of the family's 1533-position model. The record is from RNAcentral. Lineage: Bacteria; Fusobacteriati; Fusobacteriota.